AUCCUUUUGUAGUUCAUGAGCAUGAUGAUUGGGUAUUUAUGCACACGUGUGAGAUCUGCCACUCUCUGAACCUUGUUACAACGUCUAACCUGAAA
RNAcentral lists this small nucleolar RNA (95 nucleotides) under Nomascus leucogenys (northern white-cheeked gibbon). RNAcentral's name for it is "Small nucleolar RNA U13". It matches the Rfam family "Small nucleolar RNA U13". Lineage: Eukaryota; Metazoa; Chordata; Mammalia; Primates; Hylobatidae. The record is from Rfam by way of RNAcentral.